This 497-nucleotide ribosomal RNA is filed under the name uncultured bacterium. RNAcentral's name for it is "partial 16S ribosomal RNA". It matches the Rfam family "Bacterial small subunit ribosomal RNA", at positions 28 to 507 of the family's 1533-position model. The record is from RNAcentral.
GACGAACGCUGGCGGCGUGCCUAAUACAUGCAAGUUGAGCGCUGAAGGUUGGUACUUGUACCAACUGGAUGAGCAGCGAACGGGUGAGUAACGCGUGGGGAAUCUGCCUUUGAGCGGGGGACAACAUUUGGAAACGAAUGCUAAUACCGCAUAAAAACUUUAAACACAAGUUUUAAGUUUGAAAGAUGCAAUUGCAUCACUCAAAGAUGAUCCCGCGUUGUAUUAGCUAGUUGGUGAGGUAAAGGCUCACCAAGGCGAUGAUACAUAGCCGACCUGAGAGGGUGAUCGGCCACAUUGGGACUGAGACACGGCCCAAACUCCUACGGGAGGCAGCAGUAGGGAAUCUUCGGCAAUGGACGAAAGUCUGACCGAGCAACGCCGCGUGAGUGAAGAAGGUUUUCGGAUCGUAGAACUCUGUUGGUAGAGAAGAACGGUGGUGAGAGUGGAAAGCUCAUCAAGUGACGGUAACUACCCAGAAAGGGACGGCUAACUACGUG